GGUUGUUGGCCAAUUUGUUUGCAGAGGCAAGGCCAUCGUUUUAUUAUUUCUUACCUCGAGUGGGUCUGCCCUGAGAGUCGUGGGACUGGAUCUUGGCGGUCAGGCUGCUCCAGCUGCCCUUGUUUCCGACCCCUUCCAGGCCCCGCUGUCUAUCCCAUCGCGAUUCCUUAGGGCGCCUCUGUGCAGUCAUUGAGCCCUCAAGGACUCAGUGGGUUUCUUGUCGUCCACGCCCCAAACCAGCCCGCCCCUGUCUGCUGCAGUCUGGGGUUGGGUUGGUAAGAAUGGGGUCUAUGCCUUGGUGGGCUGAGUUUCCUGAACCCUAGGAAGGGGGCGGAGAGAAAAGAGGGGUCGUGUGUUGGGGUGGGGAGGAGGACGCCUUCUCGGGUUAGUUUCCUUAUUUAUAAGAAACUUCUCCGUAAGACAGGGCGGAUCUUUGCUCUGCCUCCCCUCCAGCUCGGUGGGGUGUGUGUGUGUGUUAAACCCUGGCAAAAGCAAACUUUUUAGGAUAUCAGGGUUUUUUUCUUUUUUUCUCCAAAGCUGAUUACGUUGAGUUGGUACGUGAGAGGGGAGCAGGAUUAUUGCAUUCAGAUCAAAUGCAGCUUCACAGUAAAAAUGAAACUUCCAGGCCAGACGCCUGGCAGAAUUCCUAGCUUGCAGUUUCAGUUCCAGCCUGCAGGGCAGAGUUGAGAUGGGGUGGGGCCCUAGCAAUACCUGAAAUACUGCUGAGCAGCACAGGGAAGUAUUGAUAGGAGGCCAGGAUGAGGAUGUGGGUUUGGAUUAGGAUGAGGCCAUAAAUAGCUUGAAUUAAGAAUAAGAGUGGAGCCCCCUCAAAAUGGUUCAUUUUAACACUAAGCGAGGUUGGUGUGAUAAAGUUUGAAGUCCUUGACAAAUUACAAAGCAAAAAAUUGUCACUUUAUCAGCUUUGAAUACUCACAGGAUAGUCACAGCCUGAAGCUAGUUUGGUGUCAUUUGUAUAUUAGGGUGAAAGUGUCCAGUCAGCUUUAAUAGUUGGAAGGAAAACUGGGCAAAGCUGUAUUAUGAAGGAAGGGUACUCCCAAGGAGGUCUGGAAGCAGCAGAGGCAAAAUGAAGUCUGAGGACCUGGAUUGGGAGUGAGGAGGGUAGGGCUGUGAAGGUUAAGGUAGAUUGUGAACGUGGCUGGUCCAAGGGAUUAGAAAAAGCACAUUUCGAGUGUGGCUGCGUAGGUCAUGGAGGUGUGCUGGAAGGGGCAUCUUUCUAUAUAUCUCACUUGGUCCUUUUUCUCUCCUACUUCCCCUGCUCUAUUACUGGACAUUAUGAAGUGAGCAACUUUGCUCUACAAUGCCUUUCUUCCAUGAUAUUUCUGCCUUGGGGCCAGCCAACCAUGGACUGAAUCCUCUUAAAACCUAAGCUAAAUUAGACCUCUCUUCCUUUAAAUUGUGGGUGUCGGGUAUGGUGUCUUAUGGGUUAUGUUUAGAUACCCCCCACACAAAGCCUCAUGCACUCUUAGGUGGGGCUUUUGGGAGAUAGUUGGAUCGUGUGGACGCCAUACUCAUGGAUGGAUUGGUCUACUGAUGAGUUUAUAGCUAAAUGUGUUGUUGGAGGUAGGGCCUGGACUGAAGAGGUGGGUCACUGAGGGUGUGGAAGGGUUAUAGCUCCUUCCAUAGUUCCUUCACUCAGCUUCCUGACUGCCAUGAGGUGAGGAGCUUUCCUCCCCCAGACCCUUCCACCAUGCCCUUUCCACUUGGAGCCAGUGACCAUGCAAGGACUAAGUUGUGAGCCAAAGUAAACUUCUCUUCCUUUGUGGGGAUUGGGUAUGGCUCCCAGCAAUGGGAAAACUGACUACUACAAGGAGAUGCGAAAGAAGAGAUGGAAGACCACAACAGCAAACUUACUCUUUCUUAGUUUUGCUGAAGACCUUUUCAGCGGUGGAUCCUGGCUCCCAAUCUCCUUGGUAUACUAAAUCCGGGCAGGAAACCCAGGAUAAUGAUGAGGUAAUGGACAUUCUGUUUUCUCCAUUCUGUAUUCAGGUAGUGAGCUUGUACCCCUGAAUUGAACAUCUCUCUCCGGGGGAAAAACUGUGAACCACAAACUCAGACUGUAGCUGCAGGGGGGAGCCAUUCGAGCCAUGCUGAAGGGGACAGGACGGUGCUAGGUGACUGAGGGCUAAUCCAGGCUCCGUUCUCUAUGGUGAGGGUUCUCACUGCUGGCUGCUUAUUCCUUUUCCUUUCUCUUUUAGACUUUCUGGAAAAUCUUUGGUGUUCAUAUAUCUUUAGCAUUUGCUCAUCUACAUUUUUCACAGAGAGCAGGCCCAGACUCUAAUCUUCUUUAGGUUUUAGCAUCUAACUAGAAUUUAAUAAUGUUGUCUUCUAUUUAUGGUAAGUGAUGCUUCCCUAGCUUAUGUGCCAAUAUAAACUAUUUUUUUGAAUUUUAAGUUAAAGUGAAUUUAUUUCCAGAAAAACAGUGUAAGUCGGGUGGUGUGUGAGAUGGCAUAAAAGCAUGAUAUAGGCAUAACUGAAUUUUGAGACACAAAGAAUUUGGUAUCUCUCAGGUCACUUCAGAAUCUACUAUCUGCCCCUUCUGUCUCAGCCCAGGGACCUGAGGUCUUGAGAAUGUAAGUUACUUGACCAGGGAGAUGCAUAUCUUUCAAUACCUUUCCUUCAGCUCCUCCCUGACCAGAAACACCAAAAACUGUAAGUCCUGGCCGGGGAUUUAGCUCAGUGGUUUUGCCACCUGCUGCGAAAGCACAAGGACCUGAGUUUGAUCCCCAGUACCAAAAAAAAAAAAAAGAAAAGAAAAGAAAAGAAACUGUGAGUCCCUGGAGAAGUAUUGGAAUUCAGUGGCCCACACAUCUGCACCCACCUUCCCUCCAAUGACCUGUGUUUACUCCUGUUUCUCUUCUACCAAUGCCCUGUGAAACAGCAGCUAUAAAUAGCUGAACAAACAGUCCAGACCUCACAGAACAAACACAAGCUGCUCAUUGUUGGAAAGGAACCACUGUAAAGUGUGCUAGUUCGGGUCUUCAGAGAAGCAGAUGCCAGGACAGGAUUCAAUGUGUGAGGGUUUUAUUAGGGCGAAAGCCUGUGGGAGAGGUGCUGGGGAGGGAGCCAGCUUAGCCGGGGAGAGGGUCAGACCAGCGUGCAAGUUGACCCAGGAGGGCAGGAGGGCAGAUCCCAGGCUGUUCUGCAACCCCUGGAAGAUCCAGUGAGGCCACUGGGCAGUGCUGGAGCCAGAGUCAGCUGUCAGGGGAGUCCCUGGGGUCUGCGUAGUCGUGGGGGAGUAGCUGUUGGUGGGCAUCCUGCGGCUGAGCAGACGCAGCAAGGCUGUCUCCAGUCCUGGGUUCCUUAUUCUUUUUCCACUUGGGGGUCUGUGGGGCCCAUUCUGGCAGCCACCACCACAGAAAGAUAUUGGGAAUCAAAGGCAGGUGAAUGUCCACCGUGUCUCAGAGUUGGGGUUACUAUGGUGGCAGACAGCUUUCAAAUUCACCUGAACCGCUAGCAUAUUCAGAGCUCCGGUUAGGCUCUUAAAGUAUAUUACCUCGUUUGUGUAUCAUCAGCUCUGUGAUGCAAGUUCUGUUUUUGUUCUUAUGUCACAAAUGAGGAAACUGAGGCUGAAAAGUCACUGCUCAAGUUCACUUCAGAAGAGGUCUCAGUGCCCUUGAACGUUUGUUUCCCUUUCCUGCAAUGGGAGUUGGGGUCUGUUAAUGAAGCCUCAAGCUUGACCGCCUCUCAGCUCACCCACUUACCCUACUCACUUUGUGCUUCUGUGCUGUUUGUUGACCUUGUGGCCUACAAACCUGCCGCUCUGAAGUCCAGGGAAAUGGGACAGGUCCGGAAUGGUCCCAAGACUGGUCACUGGUGCUCUGGGGGAGGGGGCGGUGGUAGAAAAGAUGAGCUGAGCUUUAUGCUUAGUAAGUGGAAGUGAGUACAUUUCACUCAGUAUAUUUCAUGCAUGGAUGUCGACCUAGCCUCUAUGGUUUUAAAUAUUUAGAUAGCUGACUGAGCCCCUGGAUUUGUUACACUAGUGAACGUCUGUAGUACCUGCAGACAGGAGGCUGACCGAAAUGCCAUCUUUGUAACUGGUGGUGACUGUGAUUGUUCACUUGUUCCUUGAGUGUAGUGGCUUGUCCUGAAGCAAGUGAAUGUUCCCGGCACUUCCACUUCCUGUCAUGUUUGAGUUGCUCACCAGUGCAGUAGUUUGGCAUGUUAGGGGCAGUCCUGCAGGAGUUCCUGAAGAGCUGGAAAGAUUUACAGCCCUCCGCCUCCCUGUGCCUCAGAUCACUGGCCGUCUGAUGUGUCUACUGUGGAAUAUUCGAUGCCAGAGAAUCAGGGCCUCAAUUUCAGAUUCUUCAAAUUAAGGGACCUCCCUAUAGGUAGUAGAAGAAGGAUCUGAAAGUAUUGGUCAACUUGGAACACCAACAAAGCUAUCAUUGAACAAGCACCCACUGUAUACAAAGUUCUGUGCUCCCUGCUAAUGGUGGAAAAGAUCACAGACCAUGGACUCAAGUUCAAGGUACCACAUUCACAUGCAAAUACAAGACAGACCAUCAGACUGUGCUUAAAAGAAUAUGCAAGUAGCUCAGAUACAAGUAAAUCUCAGGCCACAGGAAAGAGUAUGUUGUAUUUGUCUCAAAGCCAAGUGAUAAUGGUUGUUUCUCUUUCUUUCUGGAAGUUCUGUCUCUCCCAUCAGUUUUGAAUGAGAGUGUCUCAGACAUUGGACCACAUUAUGUUUCCAGCUUAAGAUGAAGCCCCGAACUUGCACCUCAUCCAGAUUCAUAAAAAGUCAUCUUUCACAUUUCUGAUGAAAAGAUUCAGCUACAGAAGCAGACUGAUACCAGCAGAGGGAGGACUUUGCCAUUUGAACACUCCAUCACCGCCCCGCGAAGGGCUCAGCAGGAUGUGACUGCAAUGCUAACCACAGCUUUGCUUCUCUUUCUUUCUUCCGGAUACUCAAGCACCGAAACACCUCAAAAAAAUGACCCAUAAUGUGAAGGAGAUAAAUAAAACUUGAUUAUUUUAUAUCACUGAAGCCAGAGCAUAAAGUAGAUGGCACUUUCUCCAUCUUAGAUAUAAAUAUAAUGAAAGCUAAAGAAAUAAUUAAUUUUGGUACAGAACAGCAGAGACAUUUUAAAAAUUUUAAAAAUCAUAUGAUUUCAACUUCCUUGGGCUAGAUUUAGGAAAUACUCAGAGCUCGAUAGACUAGUGGCUUGGAUCUUCCAGCCAAGCAUUCUCCGUACAGGCUUAGAGUUGCAGAGCAGGGCUUUAGCACAGGUGUUAAGUGUCUGGGAAGACCUGCUGACGGGUGAGAUAGGCUUGGUGAUGUCCUCAUGUGUGGGUGAGGAGGAGUCAUCGCUGAAAGAUGUCAGGCAUGCCUGGUGCUGGGGUGUAGAUACCUACGGGCACUUUAGCAAGCUGUGGGUGGCUGUGGACGGCUGAGAAGUUUCCUAGGUGAGAAUUCACACUGAGGACAGAAAGAGCCCGAUGAUUAACUUCCAGGAAAGGCCUUAGUCAUCAGAGGGAACUGGCAGUGUAGCAAUUCUUGGUUCUGUUCCUUGGUCCAGCUACAUCCAUGGGAAUUCUCAGGACAGUCUGGGGACACUGACGGAAUUAUCUCACUAAGCUUGGUACAGAAAUAUUCAGACUCCAGAAGUAGUGUUUUACCUUCCAACAGGAAUAGGCGCGUCAUUCUCCUUUAUCCUCUCCUGCACAGCAUAGAGGAUGGGCGUUGUCAGCAGAGUGAGGGUGCAUGGGGACACCUUCUGGAGACUCUCAGAAAUGUAGGACACAGGAUGUCAUGCUAGGAGGUUUAGUAAGACAGCUGGGAGCAAGAACUGGUGCCAUUUGUGUUGGAGUUAAGGGAAUGUCCUCUGAUUCAGACCCAUGAAGACUGAAGAAAUGUACACAUUAUUUAUGCUUCAUUAUAUUCCAUGUCCCCAGAAUUAUCAUUUAUUAGAUGAACUUAAAUAAAUGAUGUCUCUCUUGAUGUAUAAA
Molecule: non-coding RNA, 5967 nt
Organism: Heterocephalus glaber (naked mole-rat)
Lineage: Eukaryota; Metazoa; Chordata; Mammalia; Rodentia; Bathyergidae
Source: RefSeq, a predicted model, not a curated record